This 312-nucleotide long non-coding RNA is filed under the name Fukomys damarensis (Damara mole-rat). RNAcentral's name for it is "lncRNA (ENSFDAG00000030264.1)". The record is from RNAcentral. Lineage: Eukaryota; Metazoa; Chordata; Mammalia; Rodentia; Bathyergidae.
AUGUCAGACCACAGACCUGCCGGACCAAGGCCAGGCUGCAGAAGCAGGAUGCACCCCUCUCUUGUAUGGGCUGUGCUGUGCUGGUGCCAUUCCGUGGUCGUCCGCAGGCCAGGCGGCGGGUUUAGUCAGACUGCUCCUGCGAUGAGGGUGGGCGGGGCUCGCCCUGCACCUCCACAUCCUGGUCGUCUGAGAAGGACAGAGAAGACAGCCGGAUUUAGAAAGAGGACCAAGAACCCGAGGAGGCUCUGGAGGAGGGGAACCUUCCCCAGAAUGAGUGGCCAGCACACAGCAGAGACUGAGGCAGGAGACUGA